AAUCACUCUGUCCAAUUUCCUUUGGUAAAUGAAUUCACUCUCAUAAUUUCUAAUACCAUGUCUGUGCUACUUGACUCUAAAUCUGUAUCUACAUCCUGUCUCUUUCUGCUCUGGACUAGACGUCUUCACUUGAGUAUUUUAUUCAGUGCCUCACAUUCUACAUGUGCAAAACCGAAUUUAUCGUUUUUCUACUCCACCCACACCAGCUACCAGGAAGUUAAGCUUGAGUUCCUUCUUUCCCUCAAUCUGUAGAGCUAGCCAGUCUUUCUACAUUAUAUUGGUUAUUCCUUUAAUCUUUUGUGCCCAUGUUGCGUCCACUUUAGUCCAGGCUUCUUUCCUUUGCUCAUUCAUUCAUUUAGUUAUUAACAUGUAUUUCUUGGCUGUCUACUCUCUAUCAGGCAGUAUUCUAGGUACCGAGAGCACAUAAGUAACAAAACAUACAAACAUCCCUUCCCUCACAGAGAUUACAUUCUUGUGGGAAAGGGAAGACAGAUAAUGAACAAAAUAAAUAAGUAAAAGACAUUGUGAUUAGAUGGUAAUAGUGCUUUGGAAAAAAUUAAAGCCAUUGGUGAGGAUGACUUGAAUAAAGGAAUGAGAAUAUAUAGAGAAAAAAUCCAAGCACUAGGCCGAGGAGCACUUCAUCAUUAAGAAGAGGAGAUGAGAAAUCAGCAAUGGGGACCAAAAAGCACAGUUCAUUGAGACAAGAGAAGAACCAUGAGACUACUGAGUCUUUAAAGCCAUGUGAAGGAUAUCUAACAAAGGAAGGAGUAAUGAUGUCUUUAGAUUUAGUCACAUGGAGAUGAGUGAAGUGCUCUUCAUCUCC
This 823-nucleotide long non-coding RNA is filed under the name Homo sapiens (human). RNAcentral's name for it is "HSALNT0328342". The record is from RNAcentral. Lineage: Eukaryota; Metazoa; Chordata; Mammalia; Primates; Hominidae.